AUUGAACGCUGGCGGCAUGCUUUACACAUGCAAGUCGAACGGCAGCACGGGGGCAACCCUGGUGGCGAGUGGCGAACGGGUGAGUAACACAUCGGAACGUGUCCAGUUGUGGGGGAUAACCCAUCGAAAGGUGGGCUAAUACCGCAUGAGCUGGCAACAGGAAAGCGGGGGACCCGCAAGGGCCUUGUGCGAUUGGAGCGGCCGAUGUCCGAUUAGCUAGUUGGUGGGGUAAAGGCCUACCAAGGCUUCGAUCGGUAGCUGGUCUGAGCGGAUGAUCAGCCACACUGGGACUGAGACACGGCCCAGACUCCUACGGGAGGCAGCAGUGGGGAAUUUUGGACAAUGGGGGCAACCCUGAUCCAGCCAUGCCGCGUGAGUGAAGAAGGCCUGG
RNAcentral lists this ribosomal RNA (391 nucleotides) under uncultured bacterium. RNAcentral describes it as "bacterial SSU rRNA". It matches the Rfam family "Bacterial small subunit ribosomal RNA", at positions 29 to 419 of the family's 1533-position model. The record is from RNAcentral.